This 497-nucleotide ribosomal RNA is filed under the name uncultured bacterium. Its description in RNAcentral is "partial 16S ribosomal RNA". It matches the Rfam family "Bacterial small subunit ribosomal RNA", at positions 28 to 507 of the family's 1533-position model. The record is from RNAcentral.
GAUGAACGCUGGCGGCGUGCCUAAUACAUGCAAGUCGAGCGAACAGACGAGGAGCUUGCUCCUCUGACGUUAGCGGCGGACGGGUGAGUAACACGUGGAUAACCUACCUAUAAGACUGGGAUAACUUCGGGAAACCGGAGCUAAUACCGGAUAAUAUAUUGAACCGCAUGGUUCAAUAGUGAAAGACGGUUUUGCUGUCACUUAUAGAUGGAUCCGCGCCGCAUUAGCUAGUUGGUAAGGUAACAGCUUACCAAGGCAACGAUGCGUAGCCGACCUGAGAGGGUGAUCGGCGACCCGGGAACGGAGACACGGUCAAGACUCCUACGGGAGGCAGCAGUAGGGAAUGGGCCGCAAUGGGCGAGAGCCUGACGGAGCAGCGCCGCGUGAGUGAUGAAGGUCCUCGGAGCGUAAAACUCUGUUAUUAGGGAAGAACAAAUGUGUAAGUAACUAUGCACGGCUUGACGGUACCUAAUCAGAAAGCCACGGCUAACUACGUG